This 73-nucleotide transfer RNA is filed under the name Anneissia japonica. RNAcentral's name for it is "tRNA-Ser". It matches the Rfam family "tRNA". From Rfam's summary of the family: Transfer RNA (tRNA) molecules are approximately 80 nucleotides in length. Their secondary structure includes four short double-helical elements and three loops (D, anti-codon, and T loops). The record is from RNAcentral. Lineage: Eukaryota; Metazoa; Echinodermata; Crinoidea; Comatulida; Comatulidae.
GCCUCCGUGGUCUAACGGUUAUGACGCUCGCCUCGACAGCGAGAGUUCGCAGGUUCGAGUCCCGCCAGAGGCA